Molecule: ribosomal RNA, 463 nt
Filed under: Cicindela rufoaenea
Lineage: Eukaryota; Metazoa; Arthropoda; Insecta; Coleoptera; Carabidae
Description: partial large subunit ribosomal RNA
Rfam family: Bacterial large subunit ribosomal RNA
Source: RNAcentral
UAAGNUCUGACCUGCCCAAUGAGGAUUUAAAUGGCCGCAGUAUUUUGACUGUGCAAAGGUAGCAUAAUUAUUAGUUUUUUAAUUGAAAGCUUGUAUGAAGGGUUGGACGAGAUAAAAUCUGUCUUUAUUUAAUUUAAAAUAAAAUUUAACUUUUGAGUCAAAAGGCUUAAAUGAUUAUAAAAGACGAGAAGACCCUAUAGAUCUUUAUUUAAUUAAUAUUUUGAUAAUUUAGGAUUAUUUUAAUUUAGAGUUUUAAUUAAAUUUUAUUGGGGUAAUAUAAAGAUUAAAUUAAUUCUUUUUAUUUAUUACAUUGAUUUAUGAAUUUAUGAUCCAAUAUUAUUGAUUAUAAGAUUAAGUUACCUUAGGGAUAACAGCGUAAUUUUUUUGGAGAGCUCAUAUCGAUAAAAAAGUUUGCGACCUCGAUGUUGGAUUAAAAAUUAGCUUGGGUGCAGAAGCUCAAGAU